RNAcentral lists this ribosomal RNA (514 nucleotides) under uncultured bacterium. RNAcentral's name for it is "bacterial SSU rRNA". It matches the Rfam family "Bacterial small subunit ribosomal RNA", at positions 8 to 518 of the family's 1533-position model. The record is from RNAcentral.
AGAGUUGAUCUGGCUCAGGAUGAACGCUGGCGGCGUGCCUAAUACAUGCAAGUCGAACGAGCGAGAUCCAGCUUGCUGGAUUAGCGAGUGGCGAACGGGUGAGUAAUACGUAAGCAACCUGCCUACACGGACUGGGAUAACAACCUGGAAACGGGCGCUAAUACCGGAUAGGUAACGAGAGGCAUCCUCUUGUUAUAAAGGUUUGAAACACAAGUAGAUGGGCUUACGGUGCAUUAGCUAGUUGGUGAGGUAACGGCCCACCAAGGCGAUGAUGCAUAGCCGGCCUGAGAGGGUGAACGGCCACAUUGGGACUGAGACACGGCCCAGACUCCUACGGGAGGCAGCAGUAGGGAAUUUUCGGCAAUGGGCGCAAGCCUGACCGAGCAACGGCCGCGUGAGUGAUGAAGGUUUUCGGAUCGUAAAGCUCUGUUGUAAGGGAAGAAUGGCGCGGAUAGACUCCGCGAUUGACGGUACCUUACCAGAAAGCCACGGCUAACUACGUGCCAGCAGCGGC